Nyctereutes procyonoides (raccoon dog) is the source of this 2595-nucleotide long non-coding RNA. RefSeq lists it as uncharacterized. The transcript is spliced from 4 exons. The record is from RefSeq and is a predicted model, not a curated record. Lineage: Eukaryota; Metazoa; Chordata; Mammalia; Carnivora; Canidae.
AAGCUACCAGAUUAUUGUUAAAAAAAAUAAACACGUUUUGAGAGUCUACUGACCAUCAGCCAGAGGGAAGGUUCUGAGUCAUCCAAGUUCUCCAGCUGGCAAAGAAGUAUGAAAAAGCUCCUGGCCAGAUCUGUAGAUGCUGGAGCAUCCGGAAGAGGAUGUGAUUACAAUACCAAAAUCCACCAAAUGUGAAAGAGUGAAGGAAAACUGUCAGGUGACAACCAAUUCUUUUUAUCCCAGAAAUACAGGACCUUGGGAUCAUGACCUGAGUGGAAGGCAGACGCUCAAUCUCUGAGCCACCCAGGGAUCCGGUGUUUUUCUUCUAAUUCAAGUCAACUCAACAAACACUGAGGGUCGGAAUGUGCCAGAUACGAAAGAUGAAGAAGGUCUACCGUCAAGAAGCUCAAGUCUAGUGGGGAGACGUGAUGCAGGGGCACAACAGUCCAGAUGUGUAAAUGGUCUUAUUGGUAUUUACCUGUAAAAGCUUUUACUCCUCUAAAAGCAGGAGUGGCUUGGGAGAAGUAGGGAAGACCUCGUCCAGCAGGUGUUUGAUGAGCUGAAGAGUCAAUUAAUACUGAAGCAGAAAUCUCCUAAGGUGUAUUUCAGACAUAAGCAAAGGCAUGCUUCAUGCACACACACACACACACACACACAACACACACACACACGCACGUGCACACAUCCACUAUUUGUAAGGUACAAGAUGGUCAGUAUGCUGAAUUAGAUGCCUAGGUUGUGUGAGGAGAGGACAAGAAUAGGACUUAUUUAAAACCUUAGAAGACCCUAAGUAAAUGAGAAGAUAAUGCUAUUCUCCAUCCUCUACAGAUAAAACUAAAUAAAAACUAAUCCUACAUCAUAAAGCAAGUGUAGGGAAAUCAAUAGAGUUCUAAUUUUUCACUAGUUUGAUGCAUUGUAAUAACAAAUAUAAAAAUUUUUUCCUAAUAUUUCUUCUCUUUCUUAAGGUAUAUUAAGAACUUACAGAUGGCAAUUAUAGCUAGCUUUUACUGAUGCCUUACUAAAUUCCAGGAGCUAUGAUAAACCCUUCAUGUAGAUUAUGUCACGGAACCCUCCCAACAGCCUUAGGGGGAAAAUACUAUUGUUGCUUUUAUUAUUAUUAUUAUUAUUAUUAUUAUUAUUAUUGGUAAAGAAAUCGAAGCUUAGAGAGAUUAAUUAACUUACCCACAGUCACACAGCUAGAAUGUGAUCCACCCAGGACUGAUGGGGUGGGCAGUCUGACAACACCAUCCAAAGGAAUUCUCUGCCUCAACAUCAUGCCUCAAGGAGUCAGUAUAUUAGAAGACUUGGCAAGUGCAAAGUGUUUCCUCCUCACAAUGCUCUUCAGGCCUUGGAUUCAUUCACUCAUUCAGUCAAUAAUUAUCAAGUACCUACUAUGUGCUAAGACUGUGGUAGGCACGGAGGAUCAGAGGAGAUUAUUAUGGAAGUUAUCUCUGUCCUCGUGGAGUUACCAUCGGCUGAUCACAAUUAAAUGUGAGGAGAAUUCUGGCAAGGAUGGUCCUAAAGAAACGUGAGAAGUUCGAGCUAGUUCAGGAACCCGGGAAGUGCUCUCUAAAGAAGUGAGGACUAGGGGCACCUGGGUGGCUCAGUUGGUUACCCAUCUGCCUUCAGCUAAGGUCAGGAUCUCAGGGCCCUGGGAUCCAGCUGCAAGUCUGGCUCUCUGCUCCUUGGGGUGUCUGAUGCUCCCUCUCCCUUUCCUUUCCUUCCACCCCUGCUCAUGCUGUCUCUGCUCUCUCUCUCUCUCCUUCCAAAUAAAUAAAUAAAUAAAUAAAUAAAUAAAUAAUCAAUCUUAAAAAAAAAAGUGAGGACUACACUGAGAUCUAAGGGACCAGCGGAAGUUCCCUUGGUGAACUGGAGAAGGGAGCUUUCUGCAAGGUAAAUGCCAGGAGAGGUGAGCAUGCAAACCGGGCACAGCUCCUCCUCUGAGGAAGGAUUUGCUGCCCCAGGCAGUGGCCGUGCUGGCAGCCCUAUGGGCAUUGCCUCAGCUGCAGAAAGGUGCCUCGCCCAAGGUCACGUCCGCACAGGCCACUUGAGAGGCCCUUUCGGUGGCACAGGAGCCUGCACGUUUGGCUGAGGCUGUCAUGAGCCUCACAGCCUGAUUUCUCCCUUUCCAAUCCUGCUUCCGCCCCCUCCCUUCCACGGGGGUGACUUCAAGGGCACUCCCUAAUAAACAUCCUGAGCACUAACCCUGCCCGAGUCUGUUUCCCGGAGAACCCAAAGGGCGCUGCAGCGCGAGGCCUUUGAUGAGUUAAGGUCCUAAGGGGCUUUCAGACUGACUGUGGGUUGAGUGGGCAAGAGAGAUGGAGUGAGGCUGCAAAGGUGGGCAAGGGUCAAAUAAAUCCCAAAGCACCAUGCUAAGGACUUCUUUUUUUAAAUUUUAUUUACUUAUUCAUGAGACACACAAAGAGAGAUGCUCAACGUUUCAAGUAUAAUGAUUCAUUAUACCUUAGGCUGAAAUGUUGCUAGUUACCAAAACCAUGGUUGUUUGAAAUUUUUUUUCCUCCAAGUUUUAUUUAAAUUCCAGCUAGUUAACAUACAGUGUAAUAUUAGUUUCAGGUAUAGAAUUUAGUAAUUCAUCAC